CAGCACUUAGAGAGCUUCCAGAUAGCCGAACAUAUGGGUGCUCCUGGAAGGUAGAGUGCCCAGGAAGGACAUGGAGACUCUCUACUCCUUCCCCCAUACCUUGCCCUACACAUCUCUUCAUUGGCACGGUGGCUCACGCCUGUAAUCGCAGCACUUUGGGAGACCAAAGCAGAUGAAUCACCUGAGGUCAAGAGUUCAAGACCAGCCUGGCCAACACGAAAGAAGCUCUCACAGUGGAAGACUAUAAUAUGACAUAAGAAGAAAUGUGGACUUGGAGAUACAGAAGAGUUUCACUCUGCCAUUCAGGCUGCAGUGCAGUGGUGCGAUCUCAAUUCAUUGCAGCCUCGACCGCCCAGAUUCAAGCAAUCCUCCCGCUUCAGCCUCCCAAGCAGCUGGGACUACAGGCACACACCAUGUCGAUAAUUUAAAUCAACCUUAUUCAUUUUAACUGCUACAUAGCAUUGCAGCAUAUAAAUAUACCACAGUGUGUAAUCCAUUCUCCUCUUUGUAGGCAUUUACACGAUUUACAAUUUUGUAUGAUUAGAAAAUAAACCACAAUGAAUAUUGUUGCACAUGAGUUCAAAAGUUUCUGUGAAGAACAAACCUAAAAGUAGAAGGUUAGAGCAUACAUAUUUUCAGCUUUAGAGAAUACUACCAAACUCCUAUAUAUAAUUUUUACCAAUAUGCUCUCUCAGCAGUAGCACUGAGAGUUCUUAUUUCUUCCAAACCUUGACUAUACUUAAUGUUACCAGACCUUAGAAUUUUGUCAUGAUGAUGGGCAUGAAGUGGUAAAACAAGGACAUUUUAUAAAAGUAUCCAUACAUAAUAAAAACAUAACAUUCAUAAAUGUAGGCAAUAUAAAAAUUUAUCAGGUAAAAAAUAUUAGAUUAUAACAGCUGUGAGUGGUAGCUCACGACUGUACUCCCAGCACAUUAGGAGGCCAAGGUGGGCGGAUCACUUGAGGUCAGGAGUUCAAGAACAGCCUGGCCAACAUGGGAAAUCCUGUCUUGACCAAAAAUACAAAAAUUAGCCAGAUGUGGUGGUGCACACCUGUAAUCACAGCUACUCGGGUGGCUGAGGCAGGAGAAUCACUUGAAACCGGGAGGCAGAAGUUGCAGUGAGCCGAGACCACACCACUGCACUCCAG
Molecule: long non-coding RNA, 1147 nt
Filed under: Homo sapiens (human)
Lineage: Eukaryota; Metazoa; Chordata; Mammalia; Primates; Hominidae
Description: PREDICTED lncRNA (TCONS_00084955)
Source: RNAcentral